RNAcentral lists this ribosomal RNA (383 nucleotides) under uncultured bacterium. RNAcentral's name for it is "bacterial SSU rRNA". It matches the Rfam family "Bacterial small subunit ribosomal RNA", at positions 30 to 413 of the family's 1533-position model. The record is from RNAcentral.
AUUGAACGCUGGCGGCAUGGCUAAAACAUGCAAGUCGAACGCGAAAGUAACUUCGGUUACGAGUAGAGUGGCGAAAGGGCGAGUAAUGCGUUUCUAACGUGCCCCGAAGUGAGGGAUAGCUCAGAGAAAUCUGGGGUAAUACCUCAUAACCUCUUUAAGUCGUAUGGCUUUUAGAGCAAAGGUUUACUGCUUCGGGAUCGGGAAACGUGCUAUCAGGUAGUUGGUGAGGUAAAGGCUCACCAAGCCAGAGACGGCUAGCGGGUGUGAGAGCACGACCCGCCGCAUCGGGACUGAGACACUGCCCGGACUCCUACGGAGGCUGCAGUAACGAUAUUCCGCAAUGCGCGAAAGCGUGACGGAGCAAUGCCGCGUGCAGGAUGAAU